GAUGAACGCUGGCGGCGUGCCUAAUACAUGCAAGUCGAGCGAACGGACGAGAAGCUUGCUUUUCUGAUGUUAGCGGCGGACGGGUGAGUAACACGUGGAUAACCUACCUAUAAGACUGGGAUAACUUCGGGAAACCGGAGCUAAUACCGGAUAACAUUUUGAACCGCAUGGUUCAAAAGUGAAAGACGGUUUUGCUGUCACUUAUAGAUGGAUCCGCGCUGCAUUAGCUAGUUGGUAAGGUAACGGCUUACCAAGGCAACGAUGCAUAGCCGACCUGAGAGGGUGAUCGGCCACACUGGAACUGAGACACGGUCCAGACUCCUACGGGAGGCAGCAGUAGGGAAUCUUCCGCAAUGGGCGAAAGCCUGACGGAGCAACGCCGCGUGAGUGAUGAAGGUCUUCGGAUCGUAAAACUCUGUUAUUAGGGAAGAACAUAUGUGUAAGUAACUGUGCACAUCUUGACGGUACCUAAUCAGAAAGCCACGGCUAACUACGUG
This 497-nucleotide ribosomal RNA is filed under the name uncultured bacterium. Its description in RNAcentral is "partial 16S ribosomal RNA". It matches the Rfam family "Bacterial small subunit ribosomal RNA", at positions 28 to 507 of the family's 1533-position model. The record is from RNAcentral.